RNAcentral lists this long non-coding RNA (1316 nucleotides) under Ananas comosus (pineapple). RNAcentral's name for it is "long non-coding RNA (ACOM_LNC007571)". The record is from RNAcentral. Lineage: Eukaryota; Viridiplantae; Streptophyta; Magnoliopsida; Poales; Bromeliaceae.
GCACCACCUACCACCAUCAUCUCAACCUCACAUCUCUCCAUCCAAUAGCUAAAAGCUCAAAAGCACCACCUUCAUGGUGCUUUUGAGAGUAUUCUAACUCAACUUUAUAUAUAUAUAUAUAUAUAUAUAUAUAUAUAGCGAGAGAGAGAGAGAGAGAGAGAGAGAGAGAGAAUUGAGCUGGAAUGCUAUCGGUAGCAAACGGGCUCUGUUGCCACCCAUUUGUUUUUGAUGAUGGAGCCUUCGAAUCGACGAUCGGCACCGUUGAACAUGAUCUAUACUACUUGAAGUAUCUAGAAACCAAAUUUCAAAUCUUUUUGAUAAUAUUGACCUAAUGAUCAAAGGGUUUUAAAAUUUGUAAUUUCAAUAGUAGAUAUGACAUGGUUUCACGUUUAAUAGUGUAAAACUAUCCAAAUCAAUUGAAUUUUAGUUAGAAAAUUCUUUAAACUAUUCAGAACAAGAUCUAUACUUUCGAUCUUGAUUAUAAAAUUCCUAUCAUCAUUUUUUAGAGGAUAUUCAUUUUCAGCUGUUCAUUUUUACGACAUUUGAUGGAUAAGAGAAUAAUAUUGAAAAAGCAUAAAAUUGAUUUCUAGAUACUUCAAGUGGUAUAGAUCAUGUUCAACGGUGUGAAUCGUCGAUUUGGAGGCUCCGUCAUCGAAAACAAAUGGGUGGCAACGGAGUCUAUUUGCUACUGAUAGUAUUCAAGCUCAACUCUAUAUAUAUAGAGUUGAGCUUGAAUACUAUCGAUAGCAAACGGGCUGUAUUGCCACCCAUUUGUUUUCGAUGAUGGAGUCUCUAAAUCGACGAUCGGUACUGUUGAGCAUGAUCUAUGCCACUUGAAGUGUUUAGAAAUCAAAUUUCAUACAUUUUCGAUUUUAUUUUCUUAUCCAUCGAGUGGACACAAAAAUGAACAGCUGAAAAUGAAUAUUCUUUAAAAAAUGAUGAUAGGAGUCUUGUAAUCAAGAUCAAAAGUAUAGAUCUUAUUUUAAAUAGUUUAAAGAAUUUUCUAACAAAAAUUUAAUUGAUUUGGAUAUCUUUACGCCGUUAAACAAGAAAACACCUCAUAUUGACCAUUAAAAUUACAAAUUUUGAAACCCUUUGAUCAUUAGGUAAAUGAUGUCGAAAAGAUUUGAAAUUUGAUUUCUAAACACUUCAAGUGGAAUAAAUUAUAUUCUAUGGUGCCGAUCGUCGAUUUGGAGGCUCCAUCAUCGAAAACAAAUGGGUUGCAACGAAGCCCGUUUACUAUCAAUAGUAUUCUAGCUCAACUCUCUCUCUCUCUCUCUCUCUCUCUCUCUCUCUCUCUCUCUCUAUAUAUAUAU